RNAcentral lists this ribosomal RNA (600 nucleotides) under Vreelandella zhanjiangensis. RNAcentral describes it as "bacterial SSU rRNA". It matches the Rfam family "Bacterial small subunit ribosomal RNA", at positions 38 to 637 of the family's 1533-position model. Lineage: Bacteria; Pseudomonadati; Pseudomonadota; Gammaproteobacteria; Oceanospirillales; Halomonadaceae. The record is from RNAcentral.
AGCGGCAGCUUACACAUGCAAGUCGAGCGGUAACAGGUCUAGCUUGCUAGACGCUGACGAGCGGCGGACGGGUGAGUAAUGCAUAGGAAUCUGCCCGAUAGUGGGGGAUAACCUGGGGAAACCCAGGCUAAUACCGCAUACGUCCUACGGGAGAAAGGGGGCUUCGGCUCGCGCUAUCGGAUGAGCCUAUGUCGGAUUAGCUAGUUGGUGGGGUAAUGGCCCACCAAGGCGACGAUCCGUAGCUGGUCUGAGAGGAUGAUCAGCCACAUCGGGACUGAGACACGGCCCGAACUCCUACGGGAGGCAGCAGUGGGGAAUAUUGGACAAUGGGGGCAACCCUGAUCCAGCCAUGCCGCGUGUGUGAAGAAGGCCUUCGGGUUGUAAAGCACUUUCAGCGAGGAAGAACGCCAGGGAAUUAAUACCUCCCUGGAAAGACAUCACUCGCAGAAGAAGCACCGGCUAACUCCGUGCCAGCAGCCGCGGUAAUACGGAGGGUGCAAGCGUUAAUCGGAAUUACUGGGCGUAAAGCGCGCGUAGGUGGCUUGAUAAGCCGGUUGUGAAAGCCCCGGGCUCAACCUGGGAACGGCAUCCGGAACUGUC